GAUAGGGGUCGCGUCCUAUCAGCUUGACGGCGGGGUAACGGCCCACCGUGGCUUCGACGGGUAGCCGGCCUGAGAGGGCGACCGGCCACAUUGGGACUGAAAUACGGCCCAGACUCCUACGGGAGGCAGCAGUGGGGAAUAUUGCACAAUGGGCGCAAGCCUGAUGCAGCGACGCCGCGUGAGGGAUGGAGGCCUUCGGGUUGUAAACCUCUUUUAUCGGGGAGCAAGCGUGAGUGAGUUUACCCGUUGAAUAAGCACCGGCUAACUACGUGCCAGCAGCCGCGGUAAUACGUAGGGUGCAAGCGUUAUCCGGAUUUAUUGGGCGUAAAGGGCUCGUAGGCGGCUCGUCGCGUCCGGUGUGAAAGUCCAUCGCUUAACGGUGGAUCUGCGCCGGGUACGGGCGGGCUGGAGUGCGGUAGGGGAGACUGGAAUUCCCGGUGUAACGGUGG
RNAcentral lists this ribosomal RNA (449 nucleotides) under uncultured Bifidobacterium sp. Its description in RNAcentral is "bacterial SSU rRNA". It matches the Rfam family "Bacterial small subunit ribosomal RNA", at positions 223 to 684 of the family's 1533-position model. Lineage: Bacteria; Bacillati; Actinomycetota; Actinomycetes; Bifidobacteriales; Bifidobacteriaceae. The record is from RNAcentral.